This 428-nucleotide ribosomal RNA is filed under the name uncultured bacterium. RNAcentral's name for it is "bacterial SSU rRNA". It matches the Rfam family "Bacterial small subunit ribosomal RNA", at positions 355 to 775 of the family's 1533-position model. The record is from RNAcentral.
UGGGGAAUAUUGCGCAAUGGGCGAAAGCCUGACGCAGCAACGCCGCGUGAGGGAUGAAGGUUUUCGGAUCGUAAACCUCUGUCAGAAGGGAAGAAACUACGUUGUGCUAAUCAGCAGCGUACUGACGGUACCUUCAAAGGAAGCACCGGCUAACUCCGUGCCAGCAGCCGCGGUAAUACGGAGGGUACAAGCGUUAAUCGGAAUUACUGGGCGUAAAGCGCACGUAGGCUGUAGUGUAAGUCAGGGGUGAAAUCCCACGGCUCAACCGUGGAACUGCCUUUGAUACUGCACAACUUGAAUCCGGGAGAGGGUGGCGGAAUUCCAGGUGUAGGAGUGAAAUCCGUAGAUAUCUGGAGGAACAUCAGUGGCGAAGGCGGCCACCUGGACCGGUAUUGACGCUGAGGUGCGAAAGCGUGGGGAGCAAACAG